Molecule: long non-coding RNA, 2177 nt
Organism: Gallus gallus (chicken)
Lineage: Eukaryota; Metazoa; Chordata; Aves; Galliformes; Phasianidae
Source: Ensembl
AAGCAUGGCUGUGAGAGGACUGAAUGGUCUGGUCCUUAUCCAUGUUGUGUCUGGUGAUGGUAUCUUAUCUUAAGGGAAUGGUAGUGUUUAUUUAAAAAAAAAAAAAGUUGGAAUUUUAUUUAUAUUAUCUUAAAACAUUGGUAAUUUGACUGUUCAAGUUUACUUAAUCCAAUGUGGAUGUGAAAAAAAUGAUAUAGUAAAAUUGCCCUUCUCUUUAAUAUCCACUAUGUCAGUACCCUUGUGCUAUGAGUUGCAGGCAAAAUGUUUUGACUCAUUCCAGUUUUCUAAUUAUUUCUAGAAUCUUACUUUGAUCGCCAGAAUAAGUGACAACUUAGAAUGAGACAAGAUUUCAGAGGCUUGCAAAAGCCAUUUAAAUAAGUUUGAACAAACCAGUUUCUUAUUCAGUAUACUAACCAUGGAAAAAGAUGUGGAUAUCAUUUCUUGGAUGUGUUUCUGUUGAUUGCUGGCACUGUCCACCUGGAUAUAUUCCUGCCUGGAGCUUUGGCCUUGUUUAAUUGAAAGUUAGAAUAGUCAAAUAUGUAUUCUUGAUAUGAAUCUUUGAUUUUAGCAUCCCGUGUCUGCUUUGUUUUGAAGAACCCGUUGCUUUGUAAUGAUGUUUCUUUAAUGCAUGACUGUAGAUGUACAAUAGAUGUAGUAGAUGAACAAUAGAUAGUAGAUGAACAAGACAGAAGCAUGAUGUUUGGCAGAAAUGAAGAAGCCUUACAGGAAGGAGUUAAAACAGUCAAAUCAAAGCCAUCAGCACCAACAGAAAAGAAAGAAAAAUAGAAUCAGUGAUUGUUCCCAUUCAGUUUGAGCUGUGAUUCUCCUCAGUUCUUUCAAACCUUGGCCCGGAAUUUUGGACUCCAGGAUUCGUUCUGCUUCCUGCAAGUGGGAACAGCUGCAGUGUUCCAAUUACAUCUCAGUCCCAAGCGCCUCAAGGACACUGCUCUUCUGCAAAGGAUCCGAGGUGAAAAGGGUGAUAAUGUUCUCUGUCACAGAUCUGUGGAUUCUUAAAGAGAAGUUCUCUUGGGAGAGACCGUAUUACAGGCAGUGUUGCAGGCAUCCUCACUCCUUGGAAAAGCUUAUUUCUUCAGAUGGGAGUUCAGAAGCGUUGGGCCAGAGCAAAAUGAGCAUUUUGUCAUUAGUGUGCUGCUGUUAAGACGGGAACAGCUCAUCCUGUGUGCCCGUGUAUAAUGGAAGUGUCUGCUUCUGGUAACUGCUGUUUGUCCAUGAUGACUCGGGUGAGCACCUUGUCACUGUUGUGUCUUGGAUCCAUCCCUGCAUUUUGCAGGGUCUGGAUCUUGGUAUGCCGGCUAGUGGAAGAAGCAAGGGAGAACUUCAGUAAGAAAAGUCCUUUAAACUGCUUUCAAGAAGAACAUUUCAUUAAAGCAUUUAUUUCUCUUUUCAACACCGGUGCCUGGAAAACCAUUUAUUUUGAUCUGUGAGACUUUAUUUAGAUUAACAGUUACCCUAAAACCAUAAUAGCCAUUAUAAAAUAUGAUCGUUCUCAUCUUAAGAGUUUGGGAGUAAUUGGAUUUGUCUGGGCUGCUGCUGGUGAAGUGCUCACCUCCCAACACCUGGGACCAGCAGUGCUUAAUUGGACCUCAGCUGCGCAGCACAGCUACGCUUCCCUCUGGCUGCAGCAGCAGGAGGGAGCAGGCGUUCACAGGCUGAUUAGCUGUUGCUGGUCCGGUUGAUGAUUUUCUCUUUCCAGCUAUUUUCUCGAGUUUGUAAUGCUGUGAAAGAACUGCACUGGAAAACAAACAGAAGAAAAUGUGCCAUCAUGCCUUAGCAAGAGGAGAGCCUGAGUUUGGACACUCCAUGUUUCUUCUUGAUGUUCUGAGAUGCUAAUGUGGGCCUCACAUACCAUGGAAGCCUUUCUGGUGGAGGACUGUAAAUCUUUAAAGGGAGAUAACGAUAGAAUUGCUGAUGCGACCUGAUUAUAUCAGUGUGAAUGGGACUGCCAAAAUACAAUUAAAGAAACAGCUUAUAUUCUCUGUCUUGUAGGCAGGAUACAAUUGUUCAUGUCAUUACCACACUUGUUAUUUUCCUGGUGACAAUUGAUUUAACGUACUGUUUGGAAAACGUAUGUGCUUAUUCUCUCAGUGCUGAUUUAUGAUGUGAUAAGAAAGUGCCAAACUUCUUAGCAAUAAAAGAGGUUCUGUGCAGUGUGGUAU